GACGAACCGUGCAACCGUUGUUCGGAAUCACUGGGCAUAAAGGGCGCGUAGGCGGCCCGACCAGUCUGCGGUGAAAGCCCCCCGCUCAACGGGGGAAGGGCCGUGGAUACUGUCGGGCUCGAGGGAGACAGGGGCAGGUGGAACUUCCGGUGGAGCGGUGAAAUGCGUUGAGAUCGGAAGGAACUCCGGUGGCGAAGGCGGCAUCCUGGACCGACACUGACGCUGAGGAGCGAAAGCCAGGGGAGCAAACGGG
This 253-nucleotide ribosomal RNA is filed under the name uncultured bacterium. RNAcentral describes it as "partial 16S ribosomal RNA". It matches the Rfam family "Bacterial small subunit ribosomal RNA", at positions 524 to 776 of the family's 1533-position model. The record is from RNAcentral.